This is a non-coding RNA of Gossypium raimondii (Peruvian cotton), 145 nucleotides long. The record is from Rfam. Lineage: Eukaryota; Viridiplantae; Streptophyta; Magnoliopsida; Malvales; Malvaceae.
UGUUAAAAAUUUUAUUAAUUUUUACUUUUAAAAACUGCAGUGGCUGACAGAAUAACCAGAUAGUAAAAUGUGGUGCGCUACAUGUACCUUAUGUUGACGUACAAAAAUUAAUUUUUAAUAGUAGAAAUAGAUGAAAUUUUUAACU